AACGAACGCUGGCGGCGUGUUUAAGACAUGCAAGUCGCACGGGAUAAGACAUGUAGUAAUACUUGUUUUAUUUAGUGGCGCACGGGUGAGUAACACGUGAAUUACAUGCUCUAUAGUGGGGAAUAGCCCAGGGAAACUUGGAUUAAUACCCCAUGGUAUCGAAAGAUUAAAGGCGGCCGCAAGGCUGUCGCGAUAGGAUUGGUUCGCGCCCUAUCAGCUUGUUGGUGAGGUAACGGCUCACCAAGGCAAUGACGGGUACCUGGUCUGAGAGGACGAUCAGGCACACUGGAACUGAGACACGGUCCAGACACCUACGGGUGGCAGCAGUCGAGAAUAAUUCACAAUGGGGGCAACCCUGAUGGUGCAACGCCGCGUGGAGGAUGACGGUCUUCGGAUUGUAAACUCCUGUCAUCUGGGAGAAAGACCUGACGGUAAAUAGCCGGCAGGGUUGAUAGUACCAGAAGAGGAAGGGACGGCUAACUUCGUGCCAGCCGCCGCCGUAA
RNAcentral lists this ribosomal RNA (503 nucleotides) under uncultured bacterium. Its description in RNAcentral is "partial 16S ribosomal RNA". It matches the Rfam family "Bacterial small subunit ribosomal RNA", at positions 29 to 523 of the family's 1533-position model. The record is from RNAcentral.